RNAcentral lists this ribosomal RNA (256 nucleotides) under uncultured Glomus. RNAcentral describes it as "partial 18S ribosomal RNA". It matches the Rfam family "Eukaryotic small subunit ribosomal RNA", at positions 624 to 886 of the family's 1831-position model. The record is from RNAcentral. Lineage: Eukaryota; Fungi; Glomeromycota; Glomeromycetes; Glomerales; Glomeraceae.
AAGCUCGUAGUUGAAUUUCGGGAUUAGUACGUCGGUCGUGCCUUAGGUACGUACUGGUGUUACUGGUUCCUACCUUCUGACGAACCAUCAUGUCAUUAAUUUGGUGUGGUGGGGAAUCAGGACUGUUACUUUGAAAAAUUAGGGUGUUUAAAGCAGGCUCGCGCUUGAAUACAUUAGCACGGAAUAAUGAAAUAGGACGUUGAUCCUAUUUUGUUGGUUUCUAGGAUUGACGUAAUGAUUAAUAGGGAUAGUUGGG